UUAGCCUUGAGUUGCUCAAAAGCAGUCUGA
RNAcentral lists this non-coding RNA (30 nucleotides) under Mus musculus (house mouse). Lineage: Eukaryota; Metazoa; Chordata; Mammalia; Rodentia; Muridae. The record is from RNAcentral.